AUAUUGGUCAAUGGACGCAAGUCUGAACCAGCCAUGCCGCGUGAAGGAUGAAGGUCCUCUGGAUUGUAAACUUCUUUUAUAUGGGACGAAACCUCUUUUUCUAAAGAGACUGACGGUACCAUAGGAAUAAGCACCGGCUAACUCCGUGCCAGCAGCCGCGGUAAUACGGAGGGUGCAAGCGUUAUCCGGAUUCACUGGGUUUAAAGGGUGCGUAGGAGGGUAGGUAAGUCAGUGGUGAAAUCUCCGGGCUCAACUCGGAAACUGCCGUUGAUACUAUCUAUCUUGAAUACCGUGGAGGUGAGCGGAAUAUGUCAUGUAGCGGUGAAAUGCUUAGAUAUGACAUAGAACACCAAUUGCGAAGGCAGCUCAUUACACGAAUAUUGACUCUGAGGCACGAAAGCGUGGAGAUCAAACAGG
RNAcentral lists this ribosomal RNA (417 nucleotides) under uncultured bacterium. Its description in RNAcentral is "bacterial SSU rRNA". It matches the Rfam family "Bacterial small subunit ribosomal RNA", at positions 361 to 776 of the family's 1533-position model. The record is from RNAcentral.